GACAGAGGUGCCGAGCGUUAGGCGGAAUCACUGGGCUUAAAGCGUGUGUAGGCGGAUCGUUAAGUACCUUGUGAAAUCCCACGGCUUAACCGUGGAACUGCUGGGUAUACUGGCGAUCUUGAGGUGCUCAGGGGCGAGCGGAACAGAUGGUGGAGCGGUGAAAUGCGUAGAUAUCAUCUGGAACGCCUGCGGUGAAAACGGCUCGCUGGGAGCAAUCUGACGCUGAGGCACGAAGGCCAGGGGAGCAAACGGG
RNAcentral lists this ribosomal RNA (253 nucleotides) under uncultured bacterium. RNAcentral's name for it is "partial 16S ribosomal RNA". It matches the Rfam family "Bacterial small subunit ribosomal RNA", at positions 524 to 776 of the family's 1533-position model. The record is from RNAcentral.